GAUGAACGCUGGCGGCGUGCCUAAUACAUGCAAGUCGAGCGAACAGACGAGGAGCUUGCUCCUCUGACGUUAGCGGCGGACGGGUGAGUAACACGUGGAUAACCUACCUAUAAGACUGGGAUAACUUCGGGAAACCGGAUCUAAUACCGGAUAAUAUAUUGAACCGCAUGGUUCAAUAGUGAAAGACGGUUUUGCUGUCACUUAUAGAUGGAUCCGCGCCGCAUUAGCUAGUUGGUAAGGUAACGGCUUACCAAGGCAACGAUGCGUAGCCGACCUGAGAGGGUGAUCGGCCACACUGGAACUGAGACACGGUCCAGACUCCUACGGGAGGCAGCAGUAGGGAAUCUUCCGCAAUGGGCGAAAGCCUGACGGAGCAACGCCGCGUGAGUGAUGAAGGUCUUCGGAUCGUAAAACUCUGUUAUUAGGGAAGAACAAAUGUGUAAGUAACUAUGCACGUCCUGACGGUACCUAAUCAGAAAGCAACGGCUAACUACGUG
RNAcentral lists this ribosomal RNA (497 nucleotides) under uncultured bacterium. Its description in RNAcentral is "partial 16S ribosomal RNA". It matches the Rfam family "Bacterial small subunit ribosomal RNA", at positions 28 to 507 of the family's 1533-position model. The record is from RNAcentral.